This 163-nucleotide microRNA precursor is filed under the name Oryza brachyantha (malo sina). RNAcentral describes it as "MIR812 microRNA precursor family". It matches the Rfam family "MIR812 microRNA precursor family", at positions 27 to 189 of the family's 205-position model. The record is from Rfam by way of RNAcentral. Lineage: Eukaryota; Viridiplantae; Streptophyta; Magnoliopsida; Poales; Poaceae.
UAUAAUUUUUGACUCUUCGUUUUAUUUAAAUUUUUUUAUGAUUGAUAUUUUUUUAUUAGAUGAUAAAUCAUAAAUAGUACUUUACGUGUGACUAAUUUUUUUUCAGUUUUCUGAAAAUUUUUUCAAAUAAAACGGAUGGUUAAACUUUUUGGACACGAAAACC